UACGUAGGUGGCGAGCGUUAUCCGGAAUCAUUGGGCGUAAAGAGCGCGCAGGUGGUUGAUUAAGUCUGAUGUGAAAGCCCACGGCUUAACCGUGGAGGGUCAUUGGAAACUGGUCGACUUGAGUGCAGAAGAGGGAAGUGGAAUUCCAUGUGUAGCGGUGAAAUGCGUAGAGAUAUGGAGGAACACCAGUGGCGAAGGCGGCUUCCUGGUCUGUAACUGACACUGAGGCGCGAAAGCGUGGGGAGCAAACAGGAUUAGA
This 259-nucleotide ribosomal RNA is filed under the name uncultured prokaryote. RNAcentral's name for it is "partial 16S ribosomal RNA". It matches the Rfam family "Bacterial small subunit ribosomal RNA", at positions 524 to 782 of the family's 1533-position model. The record is from RNAcentral.